RNAcentral lists this ribosomal RNA (229 nucleotides) under uncultured bacterium. Its description in RNAcentral is "partial 16S ribosomal RNA". It matches the Rfam family "Bacterial small subunit ribosomal RNA", at positions 568 to 796 of the family's 1533-position model. The record is from RNAcentral.
CGCGUAGGCGGUCUUGUCGGUCAGAUGUGAAAGCCCAGGGCUCAACCCUGGACGUGCAUUUGAAACAGCAAGACUUGAGUACGGGAGAGGAGAGCGGAAUUCCUGGUGUAGAGGUGAAAUUCGUAGAUAUCAGGAGGAACACCGAUGGCGAAGGCAGCUCUCAGGACCGAUACUGACGCUGAGGCGCGAAGGCGUGGGUAGCGAACAGGAUUAGAUACCCUGGUAGUCC